RNAcentral lists this transfer RNA (87 nucleotides) under Auxenochlorella protothecoides. RNAcentral describes it as "tRNA-Ser". It matches the Rfam family "tRNA". Rfam says of the family: Transfer RNA (tRNA) molecules are approximately 80 nucleotides in length. Lineage: Eukaryota; Viridiplantae; Chlorophyta; Trebouxiophyceae; Chlorellales; Chlorellaceae. The record is from RNAcentral.
GGAAAGGUGGCAGAGCGGUUCAAUGCAUCGGUUUUGAAAACCGACGUAGUGUUAAAGCUACCGGGGGUUCGAAUCCCUCCCUUUCCG